GUGCUUUAUAGAUUUAAACCUUCUUAUGACAGUAUCGUGCAAAAAGUAGUGUUACCCCAUUGAUAUGAGGUGUAUAAACUUUAUUUGUGUCCCUUUCUUUUUAUACUGUUGGCAGCUUUUAAUAUAAUAUCGGUUAAAUGAAUUUAACUUUUCUAGACUUGGUGGGUUGCAAGAUUGUGGUCUCAUUGAUGUUUAUCCCACAUCUUCCUUUUAUUCACUUACAUUCAUUUGUUCUUGAAGGGUUGUUACAUUUAUAUUAAUAAAAGAGGGGCGAAAGAUACCAGAGAGACAGUCAAACUCAUAGAUCGAAAAUAAACUGACAACGCCAAGGCUAA
RNAcentral lists this long non-coding RNA (335 nucleotides) under Mytilus galloprovincialis (Mediterranean mussel). Lineage: Eukaryota; Metazoa; Mollusca; Bivalvia; Mytilida; Mytilidae. The record is from RNAcentral.